GGAGCUGCUCUUUGCCCCGAAGGCGCUCACCGGCUCCCAGGGCAUCACUAUUGUCCCCAGGACUCCUCCAGCACAAGAGCAGCUCAAGCCCGGCUGGUCCAGGAAGCCUCUCCGAUGCCCCUCCGCCCCGCCCUCCGUAAUACGCCCCCUAUCAAUGCGCUAUGGAGGCCCGGAUCUACUUGGGGCCGCCAUUCAACUUUGAACUCCAGCAAAGGCGGGAUGAGUUCCUCCUUCUCUGCCCUGGCCAGAGCCACAGCAGGCUGCCUUCCUAGUGAAGGUUGUUCUUCCCUUCGUCCGCCUCUAGAGGGCAGGACCUCAGCACAGCACGAACCGCAGGCCUGGCUGGGAGGCACCUGCGCAAGUCCCACCCCGCCUCUCCACAGGAGCCAGGUGCCGCCACCUAGGGCUCCCGAGCACCUGUUAAUAAACCCCCCACAAAUUGGUUUCUGCCAGUCCCCGCCCGCCUCAAGCGGGCUUUCGGGCUUCGGGGAAGUUCUACGAUCCCGAUCCCGGGAGCCAGGGGAGAGCAGGAAGUUCAAAUCAGUCGUGGCCUCUCUCAGGUGGACAGCUCCCAGGGCCAGGGCGGGCCAGCAGCAGGCCUGGCGCCUGCGCAGUUGGCUUCUCAGCAUGGGUCCUUCCAUGCUGCCGCUUUCUGAUCUCCUAGCAACACCCUCCCUAAAAGGUCUCCCAGCUUUUAUUAAACUCCCGCUCCAGGCAAGGCUCUCUGUGAAGCACUGGGGAUGUCUCCCAAGCUAAAGGCAGAGACCGAUCGUCUACACAAACAAGUCCCAACAACUGGAGAAAUUGGGCAGGGGGAAAGUCUAGCAUUAAGGAUGCCUGGAGAAGGCUUCUGGAAAAAGCCAGGAGGGGCCCGCGAGGUUGGGGCCAGCCAGGGAAGAAAAAGGCAGCGAAAGUGCCAACAAAUCUACUUGGGAGGAAGAGAAGGGGAGGCUUUCGUGAAGGGAAAGAGCCCCGAAGCCCACUGCUAGAGUCUUAUGGAGGAGAAAAUGGAAUGGGGCACUGCCAAGCGGUCCCAAGAGAAACAGAGCAGCCUUCCCUACUAGGACUGUUGCCAUGUGCAGGGGACACUUAGCUAACAAACACUGGGCCAAGCUCGAGGGUUACAAAGAACACACUGAAGUGUCCCUGCCUUAGAGGGAGAGGAUAGCCAGGGCUGGAGUCCUGUCGGGACAGGCUGCCCGCCUGCCCACCUGGGAGCUCCAGCCGGCUUGCAAGAUGAUGAGACUCUGCUGCGAUCCUGAAGUCCCGGCCAAAAGCCAGAUGGGGAAUGAUUGGACAGAAAUGUCUUCUCUUACAGAAAAAGACAAGAGGGACAGCUGAGAUUGGAUGGCUUGGGCAGAAGACAAGAGUGGGAGGAUCAAAGGCCUCUGUUGAGGAAUAGCUAACAUUGAGACAGCAUCUGAAGGUUUAUAAAGUGUUCUACAAAUGUUAGUUCCUCACAACAAGCCUAGGAAGCAGGGUUAUUAGUAUCCUCAUUUUGCAUAUGAGGAAACUAAGGCAGAUACGGGGUAAAUUACUAGCAAGUUCUGGAGAUUAGAUUUGAACUUCUGGCUCUAAGUCCAGCACUCGAGUCCUUGUGUCUGUUAACUGGGGGAAAGCCAGAACUCUUCAAUAGUCAGA
Monodelphis domestica (gray short-tailed opossum) is the source of this 1641-nucleotide long non-coding RNA. NCBI's taxonomy places the organism in Eukaryota, Metazoa, Chordata, Mammalia, Didelphimorphia, Didelphidae. The record is from Ensembl.